UUCUGAGACCCUGACACUUUGUGUGUGCAGAACGUGCUGAAGCCCCUGCGUGGGAUCCAGCAAGGUCAGGUGUGGAGGAACCAGCCAGGGCCUCUGGACUCUGCUGAGGAGUUGGGAUGCUAUUGGCCAGUGGAGGAUGUCAGACAGGAAGCCUGCAGAGUCAGCCUGACCCUUUGAGGACCAUCUGUGGGACAAGGGAAGCAAUAAGGAAACAUCGGGGGUGGGCUCCCUCAAAGGGUAGCACUGAUAGUGCGUAACCAAGGUGUUUGAUGUCCUCCUCUCCCUGCUCGCUCCCCGCAGGUGUGUGUUUGAGCCUGUGUGUAUUUCCCAUCAGGUCGCUGAAGGUGCAAAAUACUCAAUGGGCCUGUAUGUCAUUGGACGGCUGCUUUCUGACAGGCUCCUCCGUUUUAGCCUGAGGCUACUCCUGGGACAUCUUUGUGCCAUCCCAAAGCUACACAAGAGCAGGGGGUGGUGGGACAGGCCUAAGCAAAGCUGACUCCGCACGAAGACCAGGGCCAUACCACAGGCUGGUGGGGAAGCAGGCUUUCCGGAGCCUUACCAGUCCACAGGAAGGAAGAAAGUCAGGAGUUUAUCCCUCACCCCCUUCAUUGCCUCCCUUCUUUGCCCUUUCUCCACACUUGGCCCAGACCCUGAGGUCUGCAGGACACGUGGCAGGAAGUGACCCCAGCUGAAAAGGCUGCCUUCCAGAAGCAUGCCCUAGGCACGCCUGACGAGAAGACAGCACACAGGACAAAAUUCAAGGAAUCUGGAGCCGAGAAGCCCUGUAGGACUGUGUUGCUCAUUGUAUUCAUGGCAACUGUGAGGAACACCCAGGAAGGUUAAGAGACAUUCUCAGAACAGGGUCAAUUUCCUGACUCCUCACCCCAGGCUGAGUCGGAACUCACAGCCUAACUGAAGGAAGCCGCUGAGCUGCCCAGGGGUCAACUUGCUCUGCUGGCAGCUGGGACAGGGAGGGCAUGGCCUGGCACCUGGAGGCUUUCCCACAGCAGCCACCGAAUGUGAGCACGACCCUCCUCAGUCACAGGGGAAGGAACUCGGACCAGAGAAGCACACGCGGGCCCACCAUCUGCACCCUGAGCUUCCUUCCACUGACCCGCCUCUGAAGGCCAGGACCCAGCCCAGCCCUGGCCCUUGCAUCUGAAAUGUUUCCUUGCUCGGCCCCUUCCUGGCCUUAAGAAGCAAGUAUGAUCACCUGUUUUGAAAACUUCUCUGCUUGUUGGGCUGUCCCUACAUCCC
Molecule: long non-coding RNA, 1257 nt
Organism: Alexandromys fortis (reed vole)
Lineage: Eukaryota; Metazoa; Chordata; Mammalia; Rodentia; Cricetidae
Exons: 3
Source: RefSeq, a predicted model, not a curated record